GUUUCAGGCGGUGGCUCUAAUUCGAUUUGGGGCGGCCGAUUUAGGGAUAGAGCUGAUCUUCGCCGGAGUUCGCGGAGAGGGAGCUCAAGUUUUCAGGCGGCGGUCGGCGACUACUCUUGUCUGUGGAGGGAGCGGCGCCGCCACUGUUUGUGUGUGGGUGUUUUGAAUUCAGGGGAAACGAAGGGAGAGCUGAGAGACGAGAGAUGAGGGAGGAGAGAUAGAACGAAGGGAGGAGACGCCGCUCCGGCGACGGCACCGCCGUCGAGCCGGCGGCGGCAGGAGCGCCGAGAGAGAGGGGGCGGGCGGCGUCUCUGUGAGUGUGUGUGUGGUGUGUGUUCGUGUUUGUGUGUGUGUGGUGUGUGUGAGUCAGUGUGUGUUUGUGUGUAUGUGGUGUGUGUGUGUCAGUGUGUGUUUGUGUAUGUGGAUUUGCCACAUAGAUUUAAAACAAAUAUUAAUAUGCCAUCUAGAUUUAAAAUAAAAAAUAAUAUGCCACAUAGAUCUUUAUUUUUCAUAAAUUCAAAUUAUGUUAAAAUUAAGAUUGAAUUUAAAAUUGAUGUAUUUUUUGGCCAAAUUUUAAAGUCAUGUUAUAAAUCAGAAAAUUAGCAAACUAUGUGUAUUUUAUGACAAUAACCCCU
This 635-nucleotide long non-coding RNA is filed under the name Salvia miltiorrhiza (redroot sage). RNAcentral describes it as "long non-coding RNA (SMIL_LNC008461)". The record is from RNAcentral. Lineage: Eukaryota; Viridiplantae; Streptophyta; Magnoliopsida; Lamiales; Lamiaceae.